AUUAGAUAAAAAGCCAAUGCCCUUCCCGGGCUUUCUGGUGAUUCAUAAUAACUAAACGAAUCGCAUGGCCUUGCGCCGGCGAUGGUUCAUUCAAAUUUCUGCCCUAUCAACUUUCGAUUGUAGGAUAGAGGCCUACAAUGGUUUCAACGGGUAACGGAGAAUUAGGGUUCGGUUCCGGAGAGGGAGCCUGAGAAACGGCUACCACAUCCAAGGAAGGCAGCAGGCGCGCAAAUUACCCAAUCCCGACACGGGGAGGUAGUGACAAUAAAUACUGAUACAGGGCUCUUUUGGGUCUUGUAAUUGGAAUGAGUACAAUUUAAAUCCCUUAACGAGGAACAAUUGGAGGGCAAGUCUGGUGCCAGCAGCCGCGGUAAUUCCAGCUCCAAUAGCGUAUAUUAAAGUUGUUGCAGUUAAAAAGCUCGUAGUUGAACCUUGGGUCUGGCUGGCCGGUCCGCCUCACCGCGUGCACUGGUCCGGCCGGAUCUUUCCUCUUGGGGAUCCGCAUGCCCUUUACUGGG
Molecule: ribosomal RNA, 518 nt
Filed under: uncultured fungus
Lineage: Eukaryota; Fungi
Description: SSU rRNA
Rfam family: Eukaryotic small subunit ribosomal RNA
Source: RNAcentral